AUUGAACGCUGGCGGCUGGCCUAACACAUGCAAGUCGGGCGGUAACACAGGGAGCUUGCUCCUGGGUGACGAGCGGCGGACGGGUGAGUAAUGUCUGGGAAACUGCCUGAUGGAGGGGGAUAACUACUGGAAACGGUAGCUAAUACCGCAUAACGUCGCAAGCCCAAAGAGGGGGACCUUCGGGCCUCUUGCCAUCACAUGGGCCCAGAUGGGAUUAGCUAGUAGGUGGGGUAAUGGCUCAACUAGGCGACGAUCCCUAGCUGGUCUGAGAGGAUGACCAGCCACACUGGAACUGAGACACGGUCCAGACUCCUACGGGAGGCAGCAGUGGGGAAUAUUGCACAAUGGGCGCAAGCCUGAUGCAGCCAUGCCGCGUGUGUGAAGAAGGCCUUCGGGUUGUAAAGCACUUUCAGCGAGGAGGAAGGCGGUGAGGUUAAUAACCUCAUCGAUUGACGUUACUCGCAGAAGAAGCACCGGCUAACUCCGUGCCAGCCGCCGCAGUAA
This 504-nucleotide ribosomal RNA is filed under the name uncultured bacterium. RNAcentral's name for it is "partial 16S ribosomal RNA". It matches the Rfam family "Bacterial small subunit ribosomal RNA", at positions 30 to 523 of the family's 1533-position model. The record is from RNAcentral.